Molecule: ribosomal RNA, 484 nt
Filed under: uncultured bacterium
Lineage: Bacteria
Description: partial 16S ribosomal RNA
Rfam family: Bacterial small subunit ribosomal RNA
Source: RNAcentral
AUUGAACGCUGGCGGAAUGCUUUACACAUGCAAGUCGAACGGCAGCACGGGGGCAGCCCUGGUGGCGAGUGGCGAACGGGUGAGUAAUACAUCGGAACGUGCCCGGUCGUGGGGGAUAACGUAGCGAAAGUUACGCUAAUACCUCAUACGAUCUGAGGAUGAAAGCGGGGGACCUUCGGGCCUCGCGCGAUCGGAGCGGCCGAUGUCAGAUUAGGUAGUUGGUGGGGUAAAGGCCUACCAAGCCGACGAUCUGUAGCUGGUCUGAGAGGACGACCAGCCACACUGGGACUGAGACACGGCCCAGACUCCUACGGGAGGCAGCAGUGGGGAAUUUUGGACAAUGGGCGCAAGCCUGAUCCAGCCAUUCCGCGUGCAGGACGAAGGCCUUCGGGUUGUAAACUGCUUUUGUACGGAACGAAAAGGCUCUGGCUAAUACCUGGGGCUCAUGACGGUACCGUAAGAAUAAGCACCGGCUGACUACGUG